This 352-nucleotide long non-coding RNA is filed under the name Arabidopsis lyrata. RNAcentral's name for it is "long non-coding RNA (ALYR_LNC002684)". The record is from RNAcentral. Lineage: Eukaryota; Viridiplantae; Streptophyta; Magnoliopsida; Brassicales; Brassicaceae.
UUAAAAAUUUUCUCAUAUUUCAUUUUUUUUUUUUGACGUCUAGAUUUAUUAUUUAUUGCAAAUUAUGAGAACUGUUACAUAGACGAUUCUACAACGGACAAUUCCUUCCGACCCUUAUUAGAUCCACGACAGACGAUACUUCCUUCUCCAUGCUCUUGACGCAUACCUUCAAUGAUCCAUGACCUGACGACACUUCUCUCUCGGCGUAGAAUCCUGGCGAACGGCUAUAAUUGUACUUCGCUGGAGAUCUCCUGCACACUUGCCUCCUUUAAUCUGCAAAUUUAUUAAUAAAUCGCAAUAUCUGGGACUCGAACCCCAGGUCUCUUAGUGUAGAAGCAUUAAUUAACCCUUG